Molecule: ribosomal RNA, 412 nt
Filed under: Salmonella enterica subsp. enterica serovar Mikawasima
Lineage: Bacteria; Pseudomonadati; Pseudomonadota; Gammaproteobacteria; Enterobacterales; Enterobacteriaceae
Description: partial 23S ribosomal RNA
Rfam family: Bacterial large subunit ribosomal RNA
Source: RNAcentral
ACUAUGUGUUGUUGGGUAGGGGAGCGUUCUGUAAGCCUGUGAAGGUGUGUCGUGAGGCAUGCUGGAGGUAUCAGAAGUGCGAAUGCUGACAUAAGUAACGAUAAAGCGGGUGAAAAGCCCGCUCGCCGGAAGACCAAGGGUUCCUGUCCAACGUUAAUCGGGGCAGGGUGAGUCGACCCCUAAGGCGAGGCCGAAAGGCGUAGUCGAUGGGAAACGGGUUAAUAUUCCCGUACUUGGUGUUACUGCGAAGGGGGGACGGAGAAGGCUAUGUUGGCCGGGCGACGGUUGUCCCGGUUUAAGCGUGUAGGUGUGUGUUCCAGGUAAAUCCGGUUCACUUUAACACUGAGGCGUGACGACGAGGCACUACGGUGCUGAAGCAACAAAUGCCCUGCUUCCAGGAAAAGCCUCUAAG